This 425-nucleotide ribosomal RNA is filed under the name uncultured prokaryote. Its description in RNAcentral is "bacterial SSU rRNA". It matches the Rfam family "Bacterial small subunit ribosomal RNA", at positions 962 to 1388 of the family's 1533-position model. The record is from RNAcentral.
CGAAGAACCUUACCAGGUCCUGACAUACUCGUGCUAUUCCUAGAGAUAGGAAGUUCCUUCGGGACACGGGAUACAGGUGGUGCAUGGUUGUCGUCAGCUCGUGUCGUGAGAUGUUGGGUUAAGUCCCGCAACGAGCGCAACCCCUAUUGUUAGUUGCCAUCAUUAAGUUGGGCACUCUAACGAGACUGCCGGUGAUAAACCGGAGGAAGGUGGGGAUGACGUCAAAUCAUCAUGCCCCUUAUGACCUGGGCUACACACGUGCUACAAUGGGAAGUACAACGAGUUGCGAAGUCGCGAGGCUAAGCUAAUCUCUUAAAGCUUCUCUCAGUUCGGAUUGUAGGCUGCAACUCGCCUACAUGAAGCCGGAAUCGCUAGUAAUCGCGGAUCAGCACGCCGCGGUGAAUACGUUCCCGGGUCUUGUACAC